ACCGCAGCACGGUUUGGGAAGACAGAAGGGGGAAACUUCCCCUCACCCGCUCACCCUCCCCACAGCUGUGGCUGUGGCCUCCAUGGCACCCCACUGUAUAUGUGUGUAGAAGCUGCUAUUUCUAAUACAAUGAGGCUGUUCUCACAAGCAGCCUAAUGCACGCUAGGGCAGACCAACCUGGGUUAGGUUGCUCAUGUGGAAUGCUGGGAUCUGCACGGAUGAGGAUGAAGCCAGAGGAAAGAGAAGGUCAUGACCUUUAGGGACUCCUGGGGAGGAGCAGGGCAUUCUUUCUCGCUGACAGCUGUAGGAGCAUUCAGUUUCCAGUAACCUUCUUAAAGAACUCUCUGUGGAUAAAUGAAUGAAAACCUUGACACUAAAACAACUGAACUAAGCAAAAACAAGAAUGGACAACUUCCAAGACUGAAGGAGGAUGAGAAUCAGUUGUCCACCUUGCUGCUUCAGCUCCCAUAGUUCUUUUGUAUGCCAAUUUCAAAGUGGUUUGGAGGGAGAGG
Hemicordylus capensis (graceful crag lizard) is the source of this 512-nucleotide long non-coding RNA. RefSeq lists it as uncharacterized. NCBI's taxonomy places the organism in Eukaryota, Metazoa, Chordata, Lepidosauria, Squamata, Cordylidae. The record is from RefSeq and is a predicted model, not a curated record. The transcript is spliced from 4 exons.